UGCACCCUGAGGCCUGGCUGCUCGAAGCUGCCUUCUCCCUUAGCUGACACGGUGCCUUCCUGGUUAAGGUGUUUUCAGACCUGCCCGUUUCUCCGCCUACACUCUCUCCCACCCUACAGUCAGCUUUCAAGAUCACAGGCCAGGCUGUGUCAUGUGUCUCUGUUUUCCCUUUUUAAGUUUCAUCCUCCUGACGGCCAGUCUCUGCACAGCAGCCAGAGGAUGCACAAAGCAGAUCGGAUGCAGUCACGCCGAAUCUCAGAGACCUAGGAUGGUUCCCUCCCAACCUCCAGCAGAAUCAAGUCCCCACCUCUACUUUACAGAAAUGUAAGCUCAGGCAUGUGGGAUCUUAGCUCCCUGACCAGGGAUCGAACCGGUACCCCUGCAUUGGAAGGCGAAGUCUUAACCACUGGACUGCAAGGGAAUCCCUGAAGCCACGCAGGAAAGCAGGGCGGAUUCCUACUUCAUCUCCGCUGAAACUGGCCCCCAGUCUGCUCCCUUCUCCCUCCAUGAAGCCCC
Eubalaena glacialis (North Atlantic right whale) is the source of this 516-nucleotide long non-coding RNA. RefSeq lists it as uncharacterized. The record is from RefSeq and is a predicted model, not a curated record. NCBI's taxonomy places the organism in Eukaryota, Metazoa, Chordata, Mammalia, Artiodactyla, Balaenidae. The transcript has 3 exons.